This 470-nucleotide ribosomal RNA is filed under the name Huia cavitympanum (Sabah huia frog). RNAcentral's name for it is "partial 16S ribosomal RNA". It matches the Rfam family "Bacterial large subunit ribosomal RNA", at positions 1899 to 2559 of the family's 2925-position model. Lineage: Eukaryota; Metazoa; Chordata; Amphibia; Anura; Ranidae. The record is from RNAcentral.
AAGAGGUCCAGCUCCCAGUGACAAUUAAACGGCUGUGGUACUCUGACCACACAAAGGUAGCGUAAUCACUUGUUUAAAUGGGGACUUGUAUCAACGGCAUCACGAGGGCUGUACUGUCUCCUUUCUCCAAUCAAAUGAUCUUCCCGUGAAGAAGCGGGAAUUAACUAAUAAGACGAGAAGACCCCAUGGAGCUUUAAACUCACUAUGCACCUCUGCCCACCUAUACCAUUUCAGCCUAUGAGACCUCAUUAAGCUUUAGGUUGGGGCGACCACGGAGUAAAAAUUAACCUCCACGACGAAUGGGCUACCCUUAUCCAAGAACAACAAUUCUAAGAAUCAAUAGAGAUGUUUAAUGACCCGUUUCGAUCAACGAACCAAGUUACCCUGGGGAUAACAGCGCAAUCUACUUCGACCAUAUCAACAAGUAGGUUUACGACCUCUGUUGGAUCAGGGUAUCCCAGUGGUGCAGC